Molecule: ribosomal RNA, 454 nt
Filed under: uncultured bacterium
Lineage: Bacteria
Description: bacterial SSU rRNA
Rfam family: Bacterial small subunit ribosomal RNA
Source: RNAcentral
AACGAACGCUGGCGGCAUGCCUAACACAUGCAAGUCGAACGAGACCUUCGGGUCUAGUGGCGCACGGGUGCGUAACGCGUGGGAAUCUGCCCCUUGGUUCGGAAUAACAGCGAGAAAUUGCUGCUAAUACCGGAUAAUGACGUAAGUCCAAAGAUUUAUCGCCAAGGGAUGAGCCCGGCGUUAGGAUUAGCUAGUUGGUGUGGUAAAGGCGCACCAAGGCGACGAUCCUUAGCUGGUCUGAGAGGAUGAUCAGCCACACUGGGACUGAGACACGGCCCAGACUCCUACGGGAGGCAGCAGUGGGGGAAUAUUGGACAAUGGGCGAAAGCCUGAUCCAGCAAUGCCGCGUGAGUGAUGAAGGCCUUAGGGUUGUAAAGCUCUUUUACCCGGGAUGAUAAUGACAGUACCGGGAGAAUAAGCUCCGGCUAACUCCGUGCCAGCAGCCGCGGUAAGU